Molecule: ribosomal RNA, 505 nt
Filed under: uncultured bacterium
Lineage: Bacteria
Description: partial 16S ribosomal RNA
Rfam family: Bacterial small subunit ribosomal RNA
Source: RNAcentral
GACGAACGCUGGCGGCGUGCCUAAUACAUGCAAGUAGAACGCACAGUUUAUACCGUAGCUUGCUCCACCAUAGACUGUGAGUUGCGAACGGGUGAGUAACGCGUAGGUAACCUGCCUGGUAGCGGGGGAUAACUAUUGGAAACGAUAGCUAAUACCGCAUAAUAUUAAUUAUUGCAUGAUAAUUAAUUGAAAGGUGCAAUUGCACCACUACCAGAUGGACCUGCGUUGUAUUAGCUAGUAGGUGAGGUAACGGCUCACCUAGGCGACGAUACAUAGCCGACCUGAGAGGGUGAUCGGCCACACUGGGACUGAGACACGGCCCAGACCCCUACGGGAGGCAGCAGUGGGGAAUCUUCGGCAAUGGACGAAAGUCUGAACGAGCAACGCCGCGUGAGUGAAGAAGGUUUUCGGAUCGUAAAGCUCUGUUGUAAGAGAAGAACGGGUGUGAGAGUGGAAAGUUCACACUGUGACGGUAUCUUACCAGAAAGGGACGGCUAACUACGUG